CGGGAUUUCUCCUUCCUCAGCUCCGAGCUGCUCCUAAAUGAAGAAGCAAGGGGUCAGUGCCCAGAACAUCCCUGUCAUCCUUCCUCACUGCUGGUAGAGUCACGCUCACGCCCCUAUCCACGGUAAGAUGCACUCGGUAAAAACGAAGCCCAGUUCUGGACCCUGAUCCUGAUUCAGAUGUGAGAGAGACGCCAGAGCAGAGACUGAAAACGCCAGCAAGACCCAAGGAGAGCACGAGGCAGACACGCCUCAGUUUGACUCCCAACGUGUGUGCCUACAAGGUGUGAAAAAUGGCAGCGCGUACAAACCCGGCUGGCCUGGGCCACCAGACCGACUUGUGCGCAUUUUCCUCUUUGUCGCAGGACAGAAGAAGGAAGACCCACACCCGCACUCAAACCCACCUCUCUCAGGAGGCCUAAAGAUACCGGGAUCGUCUUACGAAACUCACAUCAAGCACUAACAUGGGAGAAUCAGAACCCAUGGGCCAGAAGUCUUAACUUGUCUUGCUGACUCUGAAAGCGUCAAGGCACUUAGCAUCCCCUCAGUGGUACCCACUUGACUGUUACUGUGAGGACUUAAUAUGAUCAUUUAUGUGAAACCUUAGCUCCAGGCACAUCCCACUCUAAGCAAUCAGCAUUAGCUUAAGAGUAUUUUAAAAAAAAAAAAAAGACAAUCUGUCCAUGAAAAGAUGACCUAUCCUAUCAACAGCAUAGAGCGUGUCCUCAGAAAAAUGCACACAUUACAUGUAACAUUUUUCUGUUAUGUCAUACAGCAAGAAAUACAGUAAAUGAUAAACAUUC
Molecule: non-coding RNA, 800 nt
Organism: Peromyscus maniculatus bairdii (prairie deer mouse)
Lineage: Eukaryota; Metazoa; Chordata; Mammalia; Rodentia; Cricetidae
Source: RefSeq, a predicted model, not a curated record